RNAcentral lists this ribosomal RNA (529 nucleotides) under Escherichia coli. RNAcentral describes it as "partial 23S ribosomal RNA". It matches the Rfam family "Bacterial large subunit ribosomal RNA", at positions 2251 to 2779 of the family's 2925-position model. Lineage: Bacteria; Pseudomonadati; Pseudomonadota; Gammaproteobacteria; Enterobacterales; Enterobacteriaceae. The record is from RNAcentral. RNAcentral also lists the same sequence under 1 other name.
ACAGUGUCUGGUGGGUAGUUUGACUGGGGCGGUCUCCUCCUAAAGAGUAACGGAGGAGCACGAAGGUUGGCUAAUCCUGGUCGGACAUCAGGAGGUUAGUGCAAUGGCAUAAGCCAGCUUGACUGCGAGCGUGACGGCGCGAGCAGGUGCGAAAGCAGGUCAUAGUGAUCCGGUGGUUCUGAAUGGAAGGGCCAUCGCUCAACGGAUAAAAGGUACUCCGGGGAUAACAGGCUGAUACCGCCCAAGAGUUCAUAUCGACGGCGGUGUUUGGCACCUCGAUGUCGGCUCAUCACAUCCUGGGGCUGAAGUAGGUCCCAAGGGUAUGGCUGUUCGCCAUUUAAAGUGGUACGCGAGCUGGGUUUAGAACGUCGUGAGACAGUUCGGUCCCUAUCUGCCGUGGGCGCUGGAGAACUGAGGGGGGCUGCUCCUAGUACGAGAGGACCGGAGUGGACGCAUCACUGGUGUUCGGGUUGUCAUGCCAAUGGCACUGCCCGGUAGCUAAAUGCGGAAGAGAUAAGUGCUGAAAGCA